This 323-nucleotide long non-coding RNA is filed under the name Homo sapiens (human). RNAcentral describes it as "HSALNT0131997". Lineage: Eukaryota; Metazoa; Chordata; Mammalia; Primates; Hominidae. The record is from RNAcentral.
CAUGCUCCUGGGCGCGGGCGAGUAGCGCUCCUCAUUGAAGUGCUGCGUGGGCGACCAUGAGUACUGCGGGUCUGUGGGGAAACAGAAACGGCAUUGAACACCCGGAAGCGCGGCGGAAACCCUCAGUCCACACCCUUACAGGCCAGUGAGGAUGGGAGGAGCUUUCUCGAGGUCCCAUCUGUGUGGGGGCAGCUGUGCCUCCUUCCCCAGAGGAAUCCCGCUUGACUCCUCCCUGUGUCCUUCUGCGGCCUGUGAUGGGCUUUCCCUGAAUGCCUGGAGGAGCGAGGCUGUGGCUACAACAAAGCACCACCUGUCUUAUGGCC